AUUGAACGCUGGCGGAAUGCUUUACACACGCAAGUCGAACGGCAGCACGGUGGCAACCCUGGUGGCGAGUGGCGAACGGGUGAGUAAUACAUCGGAACGUGCCCGGUCGUGGGGGAUAACGUAGCGAAAGUUACGCUAAUACCGCAUACGAUCUGAGGAUGAAAGCGGGUGAGCUUCGGGCCUCGCGCGAGCGGAGCGGCGGAUGUCAGAUUAGUUAGUUGGUGGGGUAAAGGCCUACCAAGCCGACGAUCGGUAGCUGGUCGGAGAGGACGACAGGCCACACUGGGAGUGAGACACGGACCAGACUCCUACGGGAGGCAGCAGUGGGGAAUUUUGGACAAAGGGCGCAAGCCUGAUCCAGCCAUUCCGCGUGCAGGACGAAGGCCUUCGGGUUGUAAACUGCUUUUGUAUGGAACGAAAAGGCUCUGGCUAAUACCUGGGGCUCAUGACGGUACCGUAAGAAUAAGCACCGGCUAACUACGUG
This 484-nucleotide ribosomal RNA is filed under the name uncultured bacterium. Its description in RNAcentral is "partial 16S ribosomal RNA". It matches the Rfam family "Bacterial small subunit ribosomal RNA", at positions 29 to 507 of the family's 1533-position model. The record is from RNAcentral.